GAUGAACGCUGGCGGCGUGCCUAAUACAUGCAAGUCGAGCGAACGGACGAGAAGCUUGCUUCUCUGAUGUUAGCGGCGGACGGGUGAGUAACACGUGGAUAACCUACCUAUAAGACUGGGAUAACUUCGGGAAACCGGAGCUAAUACCGGAUAAUAUUUUGAACCGCAUGGUUCAAAAGUGAAAGACGGUCUUGCUGUCACGUAUAGAUGGAUCCGCGCUGCAUUAGCGAGUUGGUAAGGUAACGGCUUACCAAGGCAACGAUGCAUAGCCGACCUGAGAGGGUGGUCGGCCACCCUGGAACUGGGACACGGUCCUGACUCCUGCGGGAGGCCGCAGUAGGGAAUCUUCCGCAAUGGGCGAAAGCCUGACGGAGCGACGCCACGUGAGUGAUGACGGUCUUCGGAUCGUAAAACUCUGUUAUUAGGGAAGAACAUAUGUGUAAGUAACUGUGCACAUCUUGACGGUACCUAAUCAGAAAGCCCCGGCUAACUACGUG
RNAcentral lists this ribosomal RNA (497 nucleotides) under uncultured bacterium. Its description in RNAcentral is "partial 16S ribosomal RNA". It matches the Rfam family "Bacterial small subunit ribosomal RNA", at positions 28 to 507 of the family's 1533-position model. The record is from RNAcentral.